UACGAAGGGUGCUAGCGUUGUUCGGAAUUACUGGGCGUAAAGCGCGCGUAGGCGGCGAUACAAGUCAGAGGUGAAAUCCCACAGCUUAACUGUGGAACUGCCUUUGAAACUGUAUUGCUAGAGUGUCGGAGGGGAUGGUGGAAUUCCAAAUGUAGCGGUGAAAUGCGUAGAUAUUUGGAGGAACACCGGUGGCGAAGGCGACCAUCUGGACGACAACUGACGCUGAGGCGCGAAAGCGUGGGUAGCAAACAGG
This 253-nucleotide ribosomal RNA is filed under the name uncultured bacterium. Its description in RNAcentral is "partial 16S ribosomal RNA". It matches the Rfam family "Bacterial small subunit ribosomal RNA", at positions 524 to 776 of the family's 1533-position model. The record is from RNAcentral.